UGGGGAAUAUUGGACAAUGGGCGCAAGCCUGAUCCAGCAAUGCCGCGUGUGUGAAGAAGGCCUUCGGGUUGUAAAGCACUUUUAUCAGGAGCGAAACGCUGUUGGCUAAUACCCGGCGGAACUGACGGUACCUGAGGAAUAAGCACCGGCUAACUUCGUGCCAGCAGCCGCGGUAAUACGAAGGGUGCAAGCGUUAAUCGGAAUUACUGGGCGUAAAGCGUGCGUAGGCGGUUUCUUAAGUCUGCUGUGAAAUCCCCGGGCUCAACCUGGGAAUGGCAGUGGAUACUGGGAGGCUAGAGUGUGUCAGAGGGUGGUGGAAUUCCCGGUGUAGCGGUGAAAUGCGUAGAGAUCGGGAGGAACAUCAGUGGCGAAGGCGGCCACCUGGGACAACACUGACGCUGAGGCACGAAAGCGUGGGGAGCAAACAGGAUUAGAUACCCUGGUAGUCCACGCCCUAAACGAUGCGAACUGGAUGUUGGUCUCAACUCGGAGAUCAGUGUCGAAGCUAACGCGUUAAGUUCGCCGCCUGGGGAGUACGGUCGCAAGACUGAAACUUAAAUGAAUUGAC
This 568-nucleotide ribosomal RNA is filed under the name uncultured bacterium. RNAcentral describes it as "partial 16S ribosomal RNA". It matches the Rfam family "Bacterial small subunit ribosomal RNA", at positions 355 to 914 of the family's 1533-position model. The record is from RNAcentral.